Molecule: unclassified non-coding RNA, 247 nt
Filed under: Hevea brasiliensis (rubber tree)
Lineage: Eukaryota; Viridiplantae; Streptophyta; Magnoliopsida; Malpighiales; Euphorbiaceae
Source: RNAcentral
GUCGCAAACAUGCUUUUACUUGAUUCCAUGGAACUUCGCAAAAUACAGAUUCACAGUAUCUUAUCAACCAAAUAUAAGAGCAAAUAACUUAAAACCACACUUAAACCAGUAUGGAUAUUAAAACUAAUCUAUAAAGGCCAUAAAACAUAGGCCUAAUUAAGAGCUAUCAAUCUAAUAACGGUCACCACCGUAACCGCCACCACCACCGUAACCGCCGCCGCCACCUUCACGUCGGCCACCUCCGUAG